Molecule: long non-coding RNA, 437 nt
Filed under: Ananas comosus (pineapple)
Lineage: Eukaryota; Viridiplantae; Streptophyta; Magnoliopsida; Poales; Bromeliaceae
Description: long non-coding RNA (ACOM_LNC024374)
Source: RNAcentral
CGCGACGAAACCGAUCAUCUCUCCAAUAAGCAAAACCACACACACAAAUACAUAUAAAAUAUAUGUAUAUCCCAUUUUCUCGAAAUCCAAGCAUCAAACCUAAAAUUCGUCAGUGCCAUUGGAUCUGAGAUAGUCGUACCAUUGAAAACGAGUUAUUAGAUCACCAUGAACGGAGUCCGAUACGUGCCGGAAGCCACCUCUACUCAAUGGCCUCUCCGAAAAUCCGAAUUACUAUUCACUUUACAUGAAAAGUAAAGAUGGUGUAAAAUCUCCAUUCUAACUCGUUUUUUCCCGAAACUUGACGAGUGCUUUUGUAAUUAAAAUACACACAAAAAUAUCAUCAACAAAGAGUUUAGCUACACUGUCAAAUUCUCAGUCCUUACAUUAUGCACUAAAAGGGCUAUUUGGUUGGAUGCUAACUAUAUACAAAUUAAAAU